Molecule: ribosomal RNA, 253 nt
Filed under: uncultured bacterium
Lineage: Bacteria
Description: partial 16S ribosomal RNA
Rfam family: Bacterial small subunit ribosomal RNA
Source: RNAcentral
UACGGAGGGUGCAAGCGUUAGUCGGAAUUACUGGGCGUAAAGGGUGCGUAGGCGGAUGAGAAAGUCAAUCGUGAAAUUCCGAGGCUCAACCUCGGAGCUGCGACUGAAACUGUUCAUCUAGAGGGAUGGUGGAGAAAACGGAAUUCCACGUGUAGCGGUGAAAUGCGUAGAUAUGUGGAAGAACACCUGUGGCGAAGGCGGUUUUCUAACCUCCCCCAGACGCUGAGGCACGAAAGCAAGGGGAGCAAACAGG